This 485-nucleotide ribosomal RNA is filed under the name uncultured bacterium. RNAcentral describes it as "partial 16S ribosomal RNA". It matches the Rfam family "Bacterial small subunit ribosomal RNA", at positions 27 to 507 of the family's 1533-position model. The record is from RNAcentral.
GAUUGAACGCUGGCGGCAGGCCUAACACAUGCAAGUCGAGCGGAUGAAGGGAGCUUGCUCCUGGAUUCAGCGGCGGACGGGUGAGUAAUGCCUAGGAAUCUGCCUGGUAGUGGGGGAUAACGUCCGGAAACGGGCGCUAAUACCGCAUACGUCCUGAGGGAGAAAGUGGGGGAUCUUCGGACCUCACGCUAUCAGAUGAGCCUAGGUCGGAUUAGCUAGUUGGUGGGGUAAAGGCCUACCAAGGCGACGAUCCGUAACUGGUCUGAGAGGAUGAUCAGUCACACUGGAACUGAGACACGGUCCAGACUCCUACGGGAGGCAGCAGUGGGGAAUAUUGGACAAUGGGCGAAAGCCUGAUCCAGCCAUGCCGCGUGUGUGAAGAAGGUCUUCGGAUUGUAAAGCACUUUAAGUUGGGAGGAAGGGCAGUAAGUUAAUACCUUGCCGUUUUGACGUUACCAACAGAAUAAGCACCGGCUAACUUCGUG